RNAcentral lists this ribosomal RNA (484 nucleotides) under uncultured bacterium. RNAcentral's name for it is "partial 16S ribosomal RNA". It matches the Rfam family "Bacterial small subunit ribosomal RNA", at positions 29 to 523 of the family's 1533-position model. The record is from RNAcentral.
AGUGAACGCUGGCGGCGUGCUUAACACAUGCAAGUCGAACGAGAACGGAUUAUAGCUUGCUAUAAUUGUCAGCUAAGUGGCGCACGGGUGAGUAAUGUAUAGGUAAUAUGCCUCUUACUAAGGGAUAACAAAUGGAAACGUUCGCUAAUACCUUAUACUCCUUAUUAACAGAAGUUAAUAAGGGAAAGAUUUAUUGGUAAGAGAUUAGCCUGUAUUGUAUCAGUUAGUUGGUGGGGUAAUAGCUUACCAAGACUAUGACACAUAACUGGUUUGAGAGGAUGAUCAGUCACACUGGAACUGAGACACGGUCCAGACUCCUACGGGAGGCAGCAGUGGGGAAUAUUGCACAAUGGACGAAAGUCUGAUGCAGCAACGCCGUGUGGAGGAUGACACAUUUCGGUGCGUAAACUCCUUUUAUAUGAGAAGAUAAUGACGGUAUUAUAUGAAUAAGCACCGGCUAACUCCGUGCCAGCCGCCGCGGUAA